Molecule: long non-coding RNA, 447 nt
Organism: Girardinichthys multiradiatus
Lineage: Eukaryota; Metazoa; Chordata; Actinopteri; Cyprinodontiformes; Goodeidae
Exons: 3
Source: RefSeq, a predicted model, not a curated record
CAACAGAAACUCUUCAGUGAUGUGACAUCAUAAGCAAAUCUGAUCUGCUUCUUAAAAACAAAGUUUGGUUUUCAGGUCAGCAAGAUGACCAGACUAAUGGUGCUAACCAUCCCUUAACGAAUGACCCGAUGAGGAUGAAUUGAUAUGAUGACGUUUCUCAAUAAGAAUAAUUGAUGUUCAUUUUACAUCAGUCAGUGUUUCUACACAAAGAUAAAUUAUCUCCAAGGUGUUUUAGGACAUUUUUUAAAGUCUGACAAUUAGAAAUAUUACAUCAAGAUUUUAUUGCUGUUUGUAUUAAAAUUCAGGUUUAAUAACCAAAUCAAGCUAAGAAAACAAUGUCAGGUAUGUGGUUGUUUAUCACAAAUUUCUUCAUGAAUUUAUUUGAUCUAUUGAAAAACUUAUUGGAAAGUUUACUAUUCAAGUAGUAAAAUUUAAUCUGUGACUCAA